This 782-nucleotide ribosomal RNA is filed under the name uncultured Neocallimastigales. RNAcentral's name for it is "partial large subunit ribosomal RNA". It matches the Rfam family "Eukaryotic large subunit ribosomal RNA", at positions 22 to 647 of the family's 3401-position model. Lineage: Eukaryota; Fungi; Neocallimastigomycota; Neocallimastigomycetes; Neocallimastigales. The record is from RNAcentral.
UAGAUGCGAGAGUAGAGCAUAUCAAUAAGCGGAGGAAAAGAAACUAACAAGGAUUCCCUUAGUAACGGCGAGUGAAGCGGGAAGAGCUCAAAUUUGAAAUCUUCAAGGGUUCUACCUUUACGAAUUGUAGUUUAUAAGAAGUGUUUCUCUGUUAGUGGAGUUGGCUAAAAGUUCUUUGGAAUAGGACAUCACUAGAGGGUGAGAAUCCCGUAUUUGGUCAUUCCUUCCUAGCUGUUGUGAUACACUUUCAACGAGUCGGAUUGUUUGGGAAUGCAGUCCAAAAUGGGUGGUAAAUUUCAUCUAAAGCUAAAUAUUGGCGAGAGACCGAUAGCGAACAAGUACCGUGAGGGAAUGAUGAAAAGAACUUUGAAAAGAGAGUUAAACAGUACGUGAAAUUGUCAAAGGGGAAGCGUUUGACACCAGUGUUGUUUUUCCGAAAAUCAAUUACGAAUGUUUUGUUUUUGAGGAGUUAUGACUUCAUCGGCUUGCUCCUUUCUUUAUGAAACUUUCUUAAUGCACUUUUCGGUUAACAAGUCAACAUCAAUUUCUUUUGUUGUAAAAGGGUAUGAGGAAGGUGGCUUUCUUUUCGGAGAAAGUGUUUAUAGCCUUGUGCCUCUGCAAUCGGAGAGAUUGAGGUCUGCAGCGUAGAUCCUUCGGGGUUAGAUACGUUUGUGCUAAGUUAUAGCUUUUCAUAGACAACUUAUUGACUAUGUUUAGUCUUGUAGCUUACUCGCUGACGCUAUUUUACCUACGCUUAGGAUGUUGACGAGACUGUCGAUCUC